This 447-nucleotide ribosomal RNA is filed under the name uncultured bacterium. Its description in RNAcentral is "bacterial SSU rRNA". It matches the Rfam family "Bacterial small subunit ribosomal RNA", at positions 328 to 792 of the family's 1533-position model. The record is from RNAcentral.
ACCCCAGACUCCUACGGGAGGCAGCAGUGGGGGAUAUUGCACAAUGGGGGAAACCCUGAUGCAGCGACGCCGCGUGAGUGAAGAAGUAUUUCGGUAUGUAAAGCUCUAUCAGCAGGGAAGAAAAUGACAGUACCUGACCAAGAAGCCCCGGCUAACUACGUGCCAGCAGCCGCGGUAAUACGUAGGGGGCAAGCGUUAUCCGGAUUUACUGGGUGUAAAGGGAGCGUAGACGGUUAUGUAAGUCUGGAGUGAAAGCCCGGGGCCCAACCCCGGGACUGCUCUGGAAACUGCGUCGCUGGAGUACGGGAGGGGCAGGCGGAAUUCCUGGUGUAGCGGUGAAAUGCGUAGAUAUCAGGAGGAACACCGGCGGCGAAGGCGGCCUGCUGGACCGUGACUGACGUUGAGGCUCGAGAGCGUGGGGAGCAAACAGGAUUAGAUACCCCGGUA